RNAcentral lists this ribosomal RNA (253 nucleotides) under uncultured bacterium. Its description in RNAcentral is "partial 16S ribosomal RNA". It matches the Rfam family "Bacterial small subunit ribosomal RNA", at positions 524 to 776 of the family's 1533-position model. The record is from RNAcentral. RNAcentral also lists the same sequence under 1 other name.
UACGUAGGGUGCAAGCGUUGCCCGGAUUUAUUGGGCGUAAAGGGCGCGCAGGCGGCCCGGCGCGUCCGCGGUGAAAGCUCCCGGCUCAACUGGGAGAGGUCCGCGGAAACGGUCGGGCUGGAGCAAGGUAGGGGGUCGUGGAAUUCCCGGUGUAGUGGUGGAAUGCGUAGAGAUCGGGAGGAACACCAGUGGCGAAGGCGGCGACCUGGACCUGUGCUGACGCUGAGGCGCGAAAGCGUGGGGAGCGAUCCGG